Molecule: ribosomal RNA, 397 nt
Filed under: uncultured soil bacterium
Lineage: Bacteria
Description: bacterial SSU rRNA
Rfam family: Bacterial small subunit ribosomal RNA
Source: RNAcentral
ACAUGCAAGUCGAGCGGGCGUAGCAAUAACGUCAGCGGCAGACGGGUGAGUAACGCGUGGGAACAUACCUUUUGGUUCGGAACAACACAGGGAAACUUGUGCUAAUACCGGAUAAGCCCUUACGGGGAAAGAUUUAUCGCCGAAAGAUUGGCCCGCGUCUGAUUAGCUAGUUGGUGAGGUAACGGCUCACCAAGGCGACGAUCAGUAGCUGGUCUGAGAGGAUGAUCAGCCACAUUGGGACUGAGACACGGCCCAAACUCCUACGGGAGGCAGCAGUGGGGAAUAUUGGACAAUGGGGGCAACCCUGAUCCAGCCAUGCCGCGUGAGUGAUGAAGGCCUUAGGGUUGUAAAGCUCUUUUAGCGGGGAAGAUAAUGACGGUACCCGCAGAAAAAGCCC